This is a long non-coding RNA of Photinus pyralis (common eastern firefly), 608 nucleotides long. RefSeq lists it as uncharacterized. NCBI's taxonomy places the organism in Eukaryota, Metazoa, Arthropoda, Insecta, Coleoptera, Lampyridae. The record is from RefSeq and is a predicted model, not a curated record. The transcript is spliced from 2 exons.
AGCCGUUUACAGGCAAAUCGAAAGAAUAAAAAAGUACUCAAUUUAGUGCGGCUGAGUAGGCAGGUUUUACCCUCUCCGCGCGCGCGUCCCACUGCCAUUGCCAAGGUUAGAAUAUUAUAUGAACGUACUCGAUCGAAUUAUGUUAGUUGUGUAAUUAUUUUUUGUGAAUAAACAACGUUAUUGUACGCAAAACUAGAGGCGACUUCGAAAUCCAGUUAAUAUUACAGGUUCUAAUGAGAACACCCAUCCGAAGGCAAUGAUCGUGAAAGUUUUUUUUAAUGAUAAGCCAACAUUUUAUGUGGAAUUUAUUAAUUUGUAUGGGUGCAUACCUUAUGAAUAUCCUUUAAGGAGUGCUGCUUUCGUAAUACUAGCGCAACGUAUUUGCAGCGCCAUUUUUAUGAGCGGUUCGUAAAUGUCCGCAAACAAACACAACACCUCAAUGUGCAUUACGAUAAGAAAUGGAAGUGGUUAUCGAAAACUACUGAUAAGCCCCAAAAUACUUCUACGCAUUAAUUUCUCUUUGUCGUUUUGUUCCAGUGCCGCCCUUUUAAGCGAUACGAAACACCAAAUCCAGUUUGGGAGCUUUUUAAAUAAAUACCUACCUUGAA